Long non-coding RNA from Zeugodacus cucurbitae (melon fly), 2240 nucleotides. RefSeq lists it as uncharacterized. Lineage: Eukaryota; Metazoa; Arthropoda; Insecta; Diptera; Tephritidae. The record is from RefSeq and is a predicted model, not a curated record. The transcript is spliced from 2 exons.
UCGUUUUUAAUGAAACAUACAUUCUCGUAUGAACCUUUCUUCGAUUUUUCACAUAGCAGUUGAUUUCGUACGAGGUGCCGUAAUUUUUGGCUGUUAUAUCGAAAUUAGUUCCAUUAAAACCACAGCAUCAACACAUUCGCAUGCACAAAAUCACAUUAUCACACAGUUUCUACUAUACAUAUAUACAUCUCGACACACCAAACACCUCAGUUUUGCAUGACUACACACAAAAACUACAUUCUACUCUUUGAAGAACAUCAUCUACAUUGCCAACAUUAUAUUCUGUCAUUAUUUGCUAUACACUUGCAUGUAUCCAUAUACAAAUAAAAUACUUCAUAACAUUUUAUUUUGUUUUGAAGCGUUUCAUAUAUCACUUCAGAAAUAUUCGGUAAGUAAUCAUGAACAUAGAUCAUACAUCAUUUUUUAUGAGAAUUAUACUCGACGAAUUCGGGAGGCAUGCAUCUUUCAUUAUCAAUCUCAAAACUCAUUCUACAAUCAUUUCACAUCAUCAGCCAUGUAUCUUCAAUCACAAAUCAGAAAUCACGGAUCAUUAUUCCUCACAUGAAUAAAGAAUCACAUACCAUUAGUCAUUAAUCGAAAAUCAUUGAUCACAUAUUGUAAAGCAUUGACCAUAAAUCAUAGUACAUGAAAAAAAUACCAUUAAUCGUAAAUCAAUAAUCAUAAGUCAUAAACCAUUCAUCAUAAAAUUCAAUUCAUUGACGGCAAGUUAUAAUUCAUAUAUCCGAAGUCAUAUGCAUUAUUUCAUAUUCAUCCUUAAGAAUUUCAAUUUUAAGAAUGUUUCGCUGAUCUGCACAUCUCUUUAUUCAUUGUUUUACAUUUUACAGAACUAUUUAUUUCGCAUGAUUUAUUCAUGAGCCAUAGUAUUCGAUGAUCACUGCCAUUAAGCAUGCAUUAUACAUUCAUCAAUCAUUAUGCAUGGUUCUUGAUUCAUAUCAUUCAUUUGUCAUUUCAGAAUUUAUUUUUUCAGUCAUCAGUCAUUAUGCAUGAUUCUUAAUUUAUCUCAACAGUUCGUUCACUUGUCAUACAACAUAUAUUUUUCAUUAAUCAAUCAUUAUGCAUGGUUCUUCUUCAUUUCAUAAGUUCAUUCACUUGUCAUUUCUGCAUUUAUUUUUCAGUCUUCAAUCAGUAUGCAUGAUUCUUAAUUUAUCUCAAUAUGCAACAUUUAUUUUUCAUUCACCAAUCAUUGCGCAUGGUUUAUUCAUAAUUCAUUUUUUUCAAUUCAUGCAUGAGACUCAUUUUCACUUCAUUUCAUAUAUGAUUAUAGUUUAAAUUUGAUAUUCAAUCAUCGAUCAUCAUUCAUUGAUCGUUCUUUAUUCAUUGCACCCGCAGUACAUUAUUCAUCCCAUAUUUGUUUGCAUGAUUCAAAGAUUACUUAUUCAAAAUUUUAGCAAAAUAUUUCAAAUAAUUCAUCAAAAAUCAUGUUGUUUCAACUAUUCGCUAUCACAAUUUCCAAUAAGUCAUUAAAAUUUUUCACUCAUUAUUCAUUUUGAUCAGUUGUCAUUUAUUGCAUGCCACAUUUAUUCCCAUAUAGGAUAAACAUUCAUAGAAGUUUUACAUGUUGAGUACUUAAAAACAGAGCAUGAAAAUCAAUAUCAGUCAUAAUUCUCAAUUAGUCAUUGAAAAAUCACUUUGAAUCAUGUUUUCAUUAUUCAUGAAAAUCAUCUGCCAUCAAAGUCAGUCAACGAAUCUCAUUAUAUUUGCAUGUUCAUAAAAAUUUUGCAUGUUGAAUGCUUGAAAAAAUGUAUCAAUCUUUACACAUCAAUCAUAAAUCAUUUAUUUAUUCAUUUGCUGCAUGCCAUAUUCAAUCAAACUUCAUCCAUCAUUAUUAUUUAAUCAUACUUAUCACUUUUCUAUAUGAGGAGUUCAUUGAUAAUUCAUCAUUGUUCACAUCAUAUAUCAUCUGAUAUUUGUCAUAUUCCAUCCAUUAUCAAUAAUAUUUCAUAUAUCAUUUUUCAUAUACAGUCCGUCAUAUACAAAUUAGAAUCAAUCAUCUGUCAACAGGCGUUUAUUACUCGUCAAUUAUCUAUCAUCUUUCAUUAUAUUCUAUCGAUCACAGAGAUAGAUCAUCUGUCAUUUAUUAUCUGCAGAUAUUCCAUUUGUCACUUAUUAUCUACCAUCUUGUCAUAUUUGUCACUUUUCAUAUAUCAGCCAUUAUUUAUUCAGAAUGCAUAUUAUUUAUCAUCUUCAUCUAUUAUCUGUCACCUGUCAUACAUCAACUG